This is a non-coding RNA of Aegilops tauschii subsp. strangulata, 306 nucleotides long. NCBI's taxonomy places the organism in Eukaryota, Viridiplantae, Streptophyta, Magnoliopsida, Poales, Poaceae. The record is from RefSeq and is a predicted model, not a curated record.
AAGUUGCUCUCUGUACAGAGAGCGGCGGCGGCGCCCCCUUCGGAUCCCCCCCCCACACCCCUCUCAGAUCUGAAGUUUUAAGGCCCGGAUUCGAUCUCCAAUCCCUCCUACUAGGAUGGUUUGGCUUCUCGACAAUGCCAUUGACACACAACACCGGGCCUACAUGAUGCGCGAGAAGGGGCUGAAGCUUGAACCUCUGAAGAUUCGGUAUCACGGGGUCUCUGGUCCUGCCAUGCCUUACGAUGAGCGGUACACACCGUACAUCAAGCAGGCAGGACUACUCCCGUGGAUUCAGUUGGUCAGCCG